CCAGAGUGAUAAGUAAAAGUGCAGUAAAGAUGUUAAAGGCUUGUAUGUAUACGCAAGUAGAAUUUGAAUAUGUUGUAGUGGAAACAAGACCAAGAGAUUGCGUUGAUUGGAUAGGCCCAUAAGGGGAGAUACUAGUUUGUUUUGUGUUCUUUGUGACUCACUAAAGAGAUCCCACCAAGUAUAGACACACACACACACACACAGAGAGAGAGAGAGAGAGAGAGAGAGAGAGAGAGAGAGAGGGUAAGGGGGGGAGGAGGAGGAUUCUUGUUGGGCUCAUCUCCAACAACAAGUACUAAGUUUUUGAGCAUGUUAAAAGGGUGUGUUGGGGAUAAAGAGGUAGAAAGAGAGAAGCAUAAGGUGUCAUCUACUACUAAAUUCCCUUGCUGUUGUGUUUGGAGUUGAUUGACUUUUAUUCUAAUUCUCUUGAGAAACUCUCUCUCUCUCUCUCUCUCUCUCUCUCUCUCUCUCCCCCCCCCCACACCUCUUCUUUUGUAUUUGGUCUUCUUGUUCCUUCUUUUCUUUCGUUUUAGGACAUGGAACAAACCCAGCAAAUGGCAGCGGGGAGGAGAACAAAAGGAGUUUCAAGACAAUAUGUGUCUUCUGUGGGAGUAGAGCAUGGAACAACCCUUCAUUACACUGAUGCAACACUUCAACUGGGAAAAAUACUCGUGAGAAACCAACUUAAA
Molecule: long non-coding RNA, 689 nt
Filed under: Ananas comosus (pineapple)
Lineage: Eukaryota; Viridiplantae; Streptophyta; Magnoliopsida; Poales; Bromeliaceae
Description: long non-coding RNA (ACOM_LNC000395)
Source: RNAcentral